CAGGGAGACAACACAAUGAUUUUGAUGCCUGAGUGCUUUUAUUCUUAGGCCGAAAUCCUGUCACCUUAGGUCGAUCGGUACCUCAGCUUUGAAGUCAAGGAUCAGCAGCAAUGUUGAUUGCUUGAUGGAGAUUUUCAGUUCCUAAACUUUGUCUAGGUCACACCCCAAAAGGGAUGAGACUCCUGGGCCAUUAGCUCAGGUGGUUAGAGCGCACCCCUGAUAAGGGUGAGGUCCCUGGUUCAAGUCCAGGAUGGCCCAUUCGGUGUUGGGGGUUUAGCUCAGUUGGUAGAGCGCCUGCUUUGCAAGCAGGAUGUCAGGAGUUCGAGUCUCCUAACCUCCACUGACCGAACUUGAUUCCCAUCUCCAUUUUUUUGGAGUUGAGCUCGAUUGGAGUGUGAUUUAGAUGUGUCCGCUGGAUGACCCCAGCUUCCUGUCAUUCCAAGUUUUAGGUUGAUGCCUUGAAUUUGGUUGAUAAGAUGCUGGGCUCGGAUCAAAUGAUCAAGCAAUUGAUGAUUUGAUUUGAAGUUCUAGCAGAACCUUGACAACUGCAUAGGUGAGUCUGGAAAAAACAAAGCAUCUUACAGAUGCAUUGUUUUGAAUCUGAUCUUCUGAAAGGGAGAUUGGAUCUAGAACAAUGAAAAUUCUUUUGAGCAAGAGCCGAGACUCUUGAGCGUUCUUUGAUUGGUGUCGAGCCAAUCAGAGUUUGAUCUUGUUUUUAGCAAUAAAAACUUGAGAAUCUGCUUUCAACGGCGGUAAGCGUUCAAGAGGUUAAUU
Molecule: transfer RNA, 774 nt
Filed under: uncultured cyanobacterium
Lineage: Bacteria; Bacillati; Cyanobacteriota
Description: partial 16S-23S ribosomal RNA intergenic spacer
Rfam family: tRNA (bases 268-340)
Source: RNAcentral